CGAGAGCCUGACGGAGCAAUACCGCGUGAGGGAGGAAGGCCUUUGGGUUGUAAACCUCUUUUCUUAAGGAAGAAGAUCUGACGGUACUUAAGGAAUCAGCAUCGGCUAACUCCGUGCCAGCAGCCGCGGUAAUACGGAGGAUGCAAGCGUUAUCCGGAAUUAUUGGGCGUAAAGCGUCCGCAGGCGGCACUAUAAGUCUGCUGUCAAAGACCGCAGCUCAACUGCGGAAAGGCAGUGGAAACUGUAGAGCUAGAGUACGGUAGGGGUAGAGGGAAUUCCCAGUGUAGCGGUGAAAUGCGUAGAGAUUGGGAAGAACACCAGUGGCGAAAGCGCUCUACUGGGCCGUAACUGACGCUCAGGGACGAAAGCUAGGGGAGCG
This 379-nucleotide ribosomal RNA is filed under the name uncultured cyanobacterium. RNAcentral's name for it is "bacterial SSU rRNA". It matches the Rfam family "Bacterial small subunit ribosomal RNA", at positions 376 to 770 of the family's 1533-position model. Lineage: Bacteria; Bacillati; Cyanobacteriota. The record is from RNAcentral.